GUGAAUGCCCUCACGGGCUCACAUUCUCUAUCCUUUACACACCUGUGCACCCUUCUGAAGCGGAGAGUUAUUAGGCAUUAGCCGAGCGCCUCCCUUCGGUUAUUAUAUCAACCUCAAACUACGUUUACUAGAAUGUAUACCGUCUUGUUGUAACGACAAGUACAAUCCAAUA
This 172-nucleotide unclassified non-coding RNA is filed under the name uncultured Geminibasidium. RNAcentral's name for it is "sequence contains ITS1". Lineage: Eukaryota; Fungi; Basidiomycota; Geminibasidiomycetes; Geminibasidiales; Geminibasidiaceae. The record is from RNAcentral.